RNAcentral lists this long non-coding RNA (220 nucleotides) under Elaeis guineensis (African oil palm). RNAcentral's name for it is "long non-coding RNA (EGUI_LNC062145)". Lineage: Eukaryota; Viridiplantae; Streptophyta; Magnoliopsida; Arecales; Arecaceae. The record is from RNAcentral.
AGGCCUCCUGAUACAGGCAGAAACGACCGGGUGGGGGAGUGCUAGCCCGGUCGGAGGGGCUAGGAAGCUCCAGGUCAUACUCCGGAGGAACUCCAUACUGAACCCUUAUCAGUAGGAGUUCAUCCGGAGUCAGGGAGCAGGGAAUGGCACCCGACGUAAAAAUCGGGCGAAGUCCAGCCCCAGUUGUGGGUUCAUCUACAGAGUGGAGGUCCUGGGGGGC